CAAAGGUUUGGUCCUGACUUUAUUAUCAGCUCUAACUAGACUUACACAUGCAAGUAUCCGCACCCCUGUGAGAAUGCCCUAACAGUUCCCUGCCCGGGAACAAGGAGCUGGUAUCAGGCACAAUCCUAAAUUAGCCCACGACACCUUGCUUAGCCACACCCUCAAGGGAACCCAGCAGUGAUAGACAUUAAGCCAUGAGUGAAAACUUGACUUAGUCAAAGCUAAGAGGGCCGGUAAAACUCGUGCCAGCCACCGCGGUUAUACGAGAGGCCCAAGCUGAUAGUCGUCGGCGUAAAGAGUGGUUAAGAUUAAUUGAAGACUAAAGCCGAAAGCCCCCACAGCUGUUAUACGCAUCCGGGGAAAAGAAGCCCAAUUACGAAAGUGGCUUUACAACAUCUGAACCCACGAAAGCUAGGGUACAAACUGGGAUUAGAGACCCCACUAUGCCCAGCCUUAAACAUUGACGUCUACUACAUAUGCCGUCCGCCCGGGGAUUACGAGCACCAGCUUAAAACCCAAAGGACUUGGCGGUGCUUUAGAUCCACCUAGAGGAGCCUGUUCUAGAACCGAUGACCCCCGUUCAACCUCACCCUUCCUUGUUUAUUCCGCCUAUAUACCACCGUCGUCAGCUUACCCUGUGAAGGCCCUAUAGUAAGCAAGAUUGGCACUGCCCAAAACGCCAGGUCGAGGUGUAGCGUAUGGAAGGGGAAGCAAUGGGCUACAUUCACUACUGCCAGUGAAUACGAAUAGUGCACUGAAACGUGUACAUUGAAGGAGGAUUUAGCAGUAAGCAGGAAACAGAGUGUUCUGCUGAAAUUGGCCC
RNAcentral lists this ribosomal RNA (823 nucleotides) under Haemulon plumierii. RNAcentral's name for it is "partial small subunit ribosomal RNA". It matches the Rfam family "Bacterial small subunit ribosomal RNA", at positions 7 to 1374 of the family's 1533-position model. The record is from RNAcentral. Lineage: Eukaryota; Metazoa; Chordata; Actinopteri; Lutjaniformes; Haemulidae.